This 504-nucleotide ribosomal RNA is filed under the name Triticum aestivum (bread wheat). Its description in RNAcentral is "partial small subunit ribosomal RNA". The record is from RNAcentral. Lineage: Eukaryota; Viridiplantae; Streptophyta; Magnoliopsida; Poales; Poaceae.
AUGGUUGAGCAUGGGAUUUUCCCUUCGACCACGGUGACAUGUGAUGACUUGAGUGACUUUAGCCACCAUAUUGAGAGUGAGUGUGAUUUCACCACUAGCCCCAUAUAUGAUGUGUUUCCACUAUUCCCACAUGAGGAGAGCCACAACCCCCACCUCUUGAGUGAGAUGAGUGACUCCACCGUAUGUGAGUUUGAGUGCACCUAUUUUGAGGGAGUGAGUGAACCACCACAUAGAGAUAGUGAGAUAGUUGAUAGGUCAUGUGAGGCCACUUUUAACACUAACGACUUGACCUCUACCUCUAUUGUGUCUUCUCAUUUGGUGCUAGGUCCCUUAUAUGAUGAUGCGCCACUUCUCGACGACUUCGUCCUACCUUUGGACAAGACGAUGGCCAUGGUGGAAUAUGAUGCACCCCCACAUGGUUCCAUCACAAUGAUGAUCUUGACCACCAUUUGGUCUUUCCCACCUCACCUACACCACUUGAGUGGAAUGAAAAAGGUAACAUAG